UACGUAGGGGGCAAGCGUUGUCCGGAUUUAUUGGGCGUAAAGAGCGUGUAGGCGGCUUCACAGGUCCGCUGUGAAAACUCGAGGCUCAACCUCGAGCUGUCGGUGGAAACCGUGUGGCUAGAGUCCGGAAGAGGAGAGUGGAAUUCCCGGUGUAGCGGUGAAAUGCGCAGAUAUCGGGAAGAACACCCGUGGCGAAGGCGAGUCCCUGGACAACUCCUGACACUGAGGCACGAAAGCUAGGGGAGCAAACAGG
This 253-nucleotide ribosomal RNA is filed under the name uncultured bacterium. RNAcentral's name for it is "partial 16S ribosomal RNA". It matches the Rfam family "Bacterial small subunit ribosomal RNA", at positions 524 to 776 of the family's 1533-position model. The record is from RNAcentral.